Pieris rapae (cabbage white) is the source of this 1371-nucleotide long non-coding RNA. RefSeq lists it as uncharacterized. NCBI's taxonomy places the organism in Eukaryota, Metazoa, Arthropoda, Insecta, Lepidoptera, Pieridae. The record is from RefSeq and is a predicted model, not a curated record. The transcript is spliced from 3 exons.
AAGUGAUUACUCAGUUUGCUUGAUUUGCAUAAAUGGGUCGGUCGCUUCGCGUGUUGCAUGUCAUAAGGGUCCAUUGUGAUUAACACGUGUGUGUAUCUGUGUUCUUGUGUGUAAUUGCUGUGGAAAGUGUACCAAAAUAGAUGCAAGAGUAUGGAGGCUGUUUACCCUGCUGCUGCAUCAGCUCUUACACGAGGAAGACGACGCAAACGCACCGAGCCACGACAGAGACAUCGUACGAUGCCUGUCACAUUUGCUGAAAUUAAGGAAGUUGAUGAGGACAAAGAGGACGAGCAGAUCCCAAUGACAGCUUCCAACAUAUCGAUCCCCAGCGUUGAAGAGCGACGUCGAAAACCUGAUCUCCUAGAUGAAACCCUCGGAAGGCAGUUCACAGAAUUUCGCAACAGGAGAACUCGCAGACGUCGUGACAUCAUCCACGAACCAGAUGAGAUAGAGGAUCACGAAACCAGCGAUCAAAGUGAACCCACAUAGAUCGUCACUAUUGUAUGCGAUGUUUAGAUUGGUGUAUUUAUAUGUGGCCGCUACACGGACUGUCUUUUCGGCUUAUAGAAAUUUUUAUAGGCCUCCUGUUGAACAAAAGAUGUGAAUCUGUUAUCAGUUUCUUCAAUUCCUUUAUCAAGCGUUGAUUGCACAUAGAUAUGCGUGUUAAAGCACGAAGAUGAUCUUGUAGUAUCUGCUUAAACGCGCUGUUUAAAAAUACUUAGCCAGUCAAAUAUCUCUCAAGGAGUUGCACCAGUGUUUUGUAAUGGAGUCGCAAUAACUGUGGAUUCCAUCAAUAAAAAUAAUAAUUUUAUAGUUAUGGCCGUAUAAAAUAUUCUAUCUUAAUGUUUAAAUCGUUAUAUAAUUAUAAUAAUUGUCUUAAACAUUUGAAAUCAUAAAAACUAGCAACCAUUUUGUAGCAAACAGCUGAUCAUAAUCCGCCAUCUUGUUUAGCAAUAGAUUCUGACGUUAGAAUCAGUGAUGCUUUUGGUGAUUUCUUCCCAAGUUUAGGGGGAAAUAUAACGGUUAUUUUAUGUAACUUUUAACGCAUGAUUAAGUUAUAUUAAGCCUAGAGCUCAACUGAAAUAUAAAAAAAUACUCCAACAUGGAUAUUUUAUACUUGAAUAUAUUUUUGAUGUAUACUUAAAGUUACCUCUUGAACCAAGUGUACAACAAAAAUUAGGCGUUUAUAAUCAAUAUUUAGAGAUAUUUGAUUGGGGAAUGUUUUUUCGGAGUUGGCAAAAGUUGAGACGUGGAGAUGGCUAAUGACUCAAUGCAAUAUGUUAUAUAUAAUACUUAUAUUUAUCAAUAAAUGUGGAAUAGGUUUAAGGAACUUUUGUAAUUCAAUUUAUUAAUAAACAUUAGAAAAAAUAA